This is a small nuclear RNA of Rattus norvegicus (Norway rat), 160 nucleotides long. Ensembl annotates it as U1 spliceosomal RNA. The record is from Ensembl. Lineage: Eukaryota; Metazoa; Chordata; Mammalia; Rodentia; Muridae.
AUAUUGCCUGGCAGGAGAGAGAUGGUUGUCAUGCAACUGAUUUUCCUAGAGUGAGGCUUAGCCAUUGCUUUCCAGACAUGCUAACCCUGUGUUUUCCCCGGCUGUGAGAAACUCAGCUACAUAUUUUGUGCUAGCAGGGAAACAGCAGUCAUCCUCCUAU